RNAcentral lists this ribosomal RNA (265 nucleotides) under uncultured archaeon. RNAcentral's name for it is "partial 16S ribosomal RNA". It matches the Rfam family "Archaeal small subunit ribosomal RNA", at positions 718 to 982 of the family's 1478-position model. The record is from RNAcentral.
AGUCACUGACAUUAGACUACCCGGUAGUCCAGGGUGUAAACGCUGCAGACUUGGUGUUGGGAACCCUUCGGGGGUGCUCAGUGCCGGAGAGAAGUUGUUAAGUCUGCUACUUGGGGAGUACGUCCGCAAGGAUGAAACUUAAAGGAAUUGGCGGGGGAGCACCGCAACGGGAGGAGCGUGCGGUUUAAUUGGAUUCAACGCCGAAAAACUCACCAGCAGCGACUGUUACAUGAAAGUCAGGUUGAUGACCUUACUAGAUUUUCAG